This 521-nucleotide ribosomal RNA is filed under the name uncultured bacterium. RNAcentral describes it as "bacterial SSU rRNA". It matches the Rfam family "Bacterial small subunit ribosomal RNA", at positions 28 to 562 of the family's 1533-position model. The record is from RNAcentral.
GAUGAACGCUGACAGAAUGCUUAACACAUGCAAGUCGACUGGAAUUCACCUUCGGGUGAUAGUACGGUGGCGGACGGGUGAGUAACGCGUAAAGAACUUGCCCUCUAGACUGGGACAACUGUUGGAAACGACAGCUAAUACCGGAUAUUAUGAGAACCUCGCAUGGGGAACUUAUGAAAGGCUGUAUGCGCUAGAGGAGAGCUUUGCGUGCCAUUAGGUAGUUGGUAGGGUAAUGGCCUACCAAGCCGACGAUGGCUAGCCGGCCUGAGAGGGUGAUCGGCCACAAGGGGACUGAGACACGGCCCUUACUCCUACGGGAGGCAGCAGUGGGGAAUAUUGGACAAUGGACUAAAAGUCUGAUCCAGCAAUUCUGUGUGCACGAUGAAGGUUUUCGGAUCGUAAAGUGCUUUCAGUAGGGAAGAAAAAAAUGACGGUACCUACAGAAGAAGCGACGGCUAAAUACGUGCCAGCAGCCGCGGUAAUACGUAUGUCGCAAGCGUUAUCCGGAAUUAUUGGGCGUA